AACGCACAUUGCGCCCAUUAGUAUUCUAGUGGGCAUGCCUAUUCGAGCGUCAUUUCAACCCUUAAGCCUAGCUUAGUGUUAGGAGAUUACAGCAAUGUAACUCCCUAAAGACAGUGGCAGAGCUAAAUCAUCUCUCAGCGUAGUAAUUCUAUCUCGCUCUUGUAGUUGGUUUAGCGAUCGCCAUAAACCUAUAUUUUCUAAUGGUUGACCUCGGAUUAGGUAGGAAUACCCGCUGAACUUAA
Molecule: unclassified non-coding RNA, 242 nt
Filed under: uncultured fungus
Lineage: Eukaryota; Fungi
Description: sequence contains ITS2
Source: RNAcentral